Molecule: transfer RNA, 72 nt
Filed under: Candidatus Poseidoniales archaeon
Lineage: Archaea; Methanobacteriati; Thermoplasmatota; Candidatus Poseidoniia; Candidatus Poseidoniales
Also listed under: 1 other name
Description: Marine Group II euryarchaeote (marine metagenome) tRNA-Arg
Rfam family: tRNA
About the family: Transfer RNA (tRNA) molecules are approximately 80 nucleotides in length. Their secondary structure includes four short double-helical elements and three loops (D, anti-codon, and T loops).
Source: RNAcentral
GGGGGUGUGGUGUAAUGGAUAGCACUGGGGGUUUCGAACCCCUAAAUCCCGGUUCAAUUCCGGGCACCUUCA